CUCUUCCUCUCUCAGCACACCCACCCCCUUCGCGUCUCGUCGGGCGCCCGAGCCGUCUUUCCCAAGCGAGCUGGGCGGGGCUCGGGAGGCGCUGAGCGAGCCCGACCAAGGCCCAGUGUCUUCCUUAAAGCCGGUUAGCGGUAGCGCUGCCCCCGGAGAGACGCGGCGUUCGGGAACGUCAUCCUCUCACCAUUAUCAAAACAACGCUCAGCGGCCCCGCACGCUCCUUACGCCAGGCCUUGGCGGAGCUUCCUUCCUGUUUUGAAUCUCGGCGCCCAGAUUGGGACGCGCGAAGGACGGCGAGGGAAGUCUCUGAGCGCCCACAGAGUGUUGUUGGCCCGUCGCCGCUGCGAAACUCGCAGGCAGACGCGGCCUCCCUGGGCGGGCUCGUUAUUUUAGUAAGGAAAAGCACUGCCGGAAUAACCAGAUUGGCCUUCUCUAAAGAACCCAAAACAACCUCGACACUUGCACAGUUAAUGAAUACAGUACUAUACUCUCCAAGUAAAAACACAAAAAAUUGCAGCCCUUCAACAGGACCCGGUGCGCGUUCACUCAGAAAUCCAGAAAGAACCCUACCCUUGGCAGAACAGAAAGGAGGAACAUAUAAUCAAGGAUGAAUAGCCUGAACCUGUAAGGAUGAUGUCAGAUAUGGAUACUACAAUGGAUUAGCCAAACAAGAGGCAGAAAAAGCUCCUUUCAUUUUUUAGUGGUUUACUUUGAAGAAAUUUGGUGUCCCAAAGAUUGCUAAUAUAGUUGAUUGGCCAAUCAAGAGGCAGAAGGGUGUUAAGUUAAAUUUGUGGGUGAUACUUAGUGGCACGAAAAGAGAAAUAAUGUCUCAAACACCGAAGAAAACAGGAGAAGGUGGGACACCUUUGGAAAGAAGAGGAUCAAAACAAGAUAUUGAAUUUAAGGGAGACAUUUUAAAAAUGUUUACAGAAAUUAAAAAAGGUAUUAAACAACGUGAGAAGAAUUUGGAGAUGAGAUUAGAAUCGAUAGAUAAAAAAUAUGACAUGACAGUUAAUGAAUUGAGGGGACAGAUGAAGGAAAUAACAAAAAGAAUGCAAAACCUGGAAGAAGAAAUGAAACGAAUAAAACAGGAAGUAAAGGAAAUAAGGAAGGAGCAAGAAAGGGUUAAGGGAGAAGUUGCAGAAAUUAAGAAGACACAAAAAGAAUUAUGGGAUGCGAUUGCUGGACUCCUUUAAAUUAGGAGGUUUCUUUCACAGAAGGCAGAGCUAACUACUCAAAGCUGCAGCUCUUAUUUAAGGUUCAGUCUGAGGUUGACUGAUACUGAAACAUUUGAGUUCUGCUCUAGUGGAGUCUCCAGCCAGAACCCUGCAUAGAACUGUCCAGGGAGCUGUUAAAUCCUGAAGUCUAGCCCCACCCUGCCCAAACCUAAACUCUUACCUCGAGUCAGAAACUCUGUAAAACUGAGAUUGUUCUUGUUACAGAACAAUUUUUUUAGUCCAAUUGUGUGUGAAGGAAGCCCCCUGGCAGCAGAGAAUUAGGUGUGCUGCAAGCAUAAAUUGCACAACCGAUGGUGGAGAAUACAGCCCUGCAAGGCCAGCUCCAGGCAGCCCAUACUGCUGCCACCUCCAGUCCAACCCAAAUACCUCCUAGGGGAAAGUGUCUCAUUAGCCUCCCAGACAAAAUUGUUGAAAACCCAAUUAAUGUUUCUUAACUUUUUGGUCCAAUUGCCUUCCAGCUGAUGGAUUUUCUGGCAGACCAAAUGGAAACCUGUUUUGCCUGUCAUAUGUGUUGGAGCCUUGCCUGCUUCCUUAAUGAUUAUGCCACCUUCCUUGUGGAAUUUAAAUGGGCAUUUGAAGAGCCACAUCAGAAAGCACCCAGUUGGUGGAUCUGCCCUUUAUGCCAGGGAAUGGAGUUUGUGCUUGACUGUUUCAAGUACUGCCCAGCACCUAGAGUAGAAUGAGGCAGCCCUCACGGAUCAAUUUCAGGAGGGCCUAGGGGGAUCGCAUUCAGGAUGAAUUUACUUAGAUUGAUGUACCUACACACAGCAGUGAGUUGGGGGUCACAGCAAUCUCUUUCUGAGUAGUUGACUAUUGCUGUGUCAUGGGUAAUGUGUGUGUGUGUGGUGGGGUAUUAUAGCAUUGUUAUUGGGAUGUUGUGAAGUGCCUGUUGUGGUACAGGUAUGUUUGUUUUUGGUUUCUGCUGUUACUAUGUUGCUGACCUGCUGAGUGUGCAUAGGAUCUUAGUCCAGGUAUAGUGGCAAAGGGUCAGACUGUUAUACAUUUGAGGAAUCUGUUAGUGUUUUUAAGAAAGCAAGUCUCAGUUCAGUGGAAAUUACUCUCAAGUAAGUGUGCCUAGGAUUGCAGUCUUGAAUGUGUGAUUUUUUCCUUAACCCAAAGCAUACUGGAAAUAAAAAUUAUUGUAAAUUGUUGUGCACA
Molecule: long non-coding RNA, 2402 nt
Organism: Podarcis muralis (Common wall lizard)
Lineage: Eukaryota; Metazoa; Chordata; Lepidosauria; Squamata; Lacertidae
Source: RefSeq, a predicted model, not a curated record